AUGGGAACAAGUAAUAAUGUUACAGAAUUUGUCCUCCCAGGCCUCUCUCAGGAUCCUGAUGUGCAAAAAGCAUUAUUUGUAAUGUUUUUACUCACAUACAAUGUGACUAUGGUGGGCAACCUUCUCAUUGUGGUGACCAUUAUUGCCAUCGCCUCCUUGGACUCCCCAGUGUCCUUCUUCCUCGCAUGCCUGUCAUUUAUUGAUGCUGUAUAUUCCACUUCCUUUUCCCCUAAGUUGAUGAUAGACUUACUCUGUGAUAAAAAAGACUGUUUCUUUCCUGGCUUGCAUGGGCCAGCUAUUUAUAAACUACCCAUUUGGUGGUAUUGAGGUCUUUCUUUUGGUGGGUAUGGCCUGUGAUCACUAUGUGGACAUCUGUAAGCUACUGCACUAUUUGACCAUCAUGAACUGGCAGGUUUGCAUCCUCCUGUUUAUGGUGGCUGUGACUGGAGGUUUUUGCAUUCUAUGUUUCAAAUUGUUGUUGUGUACAGUCUCCCUUUCUGUGGCCCCAAUGUCAUUGACCAUUUUGUGACAUGUACCCAUUAUUGGAAAUGGUGUGCACUGACACUUACUUUAUAGGCCUCACUGUGAUUGCCAAUGGUGGAGCAGUCUGUAUGGUCAUCUUCAUCCUUCUACUAAUCUCCUAUGGAGUCAUCCUAAACUCCCUUAAAACUUAUAGUCAGGAAGGCGGGCAUAAAGCCCUGUCUACCUGCAGCUCCAACAUUACUGUUGUGUCCCCUUUUUUGAUCCCUGUAUUUUCAUCUAUGUUAGACCUGAUUCAAACUUUCCUAUUGAUAAAUUCAUGACUGUGUUUUAUACAAUUAUCACAUCCAUGUUGAAUCCAUUAAUAUACACACUGAGAAAUUUAGAGGUGAGAAUUGCUGUGAAAAAACUCUGGUGUAAAAAC
RNAcentral lists this long non-coding RNA (904 nucleotides) under Homo sapiens (human). RNAcentral describes it as "non-protein coding lnc-OR4A15-3:1". The record is from RNAcentral. Lineage: Eukaryota; Metazoa; Chordata; Mammalia; Primates; Hominidae.